UACGGAGGGAGCGAACGUUGUUCGGAUUCACUGGGCGUAAAGGGUGUGUAGGCGGUCUUGCAAGUUUGAGGUGAAAUCUUCCGGCUCAACCGGGAAACUGCCUUGAAGACUGCAGGACUUGAGGGCGUGAGAGGAGACUGGAAUUCCUAGUGUAGCGGUGAAAUGCAUAGAUAUUAGGAGGAACACCAGUGGCGAAGGCGAGUCUCUGGCACGCAUCUGACGCUGAGACACGAAAGCCAGGGGAGCGAACGGG
Molecule: ribosomal RNA, 253 nt
Filed under: uncultured bacterium
Lineage: Bacteria
Description: partial 16S ribosomal RNA
Rfam family: Bacterial small subunit ribosomal RNA
Source: RNAcentral